Molecule: ribosomal RNA, 485 nt
Filed under: Bartonella naantaliensis
Lineage: Bacteria; Pseudomonadati; Pseudomonadota; Alphaproteobacteria; Hyphomicrobiales; Bartonellaceae
Description: 16S ribosomal RNA
Rfam family: Bacterial small subunit ribosomal RNA
Source: RNAcentral
AAGCAACGCGCAGAACCUUACCAGCCCUUGACAUCCCGAUCGCGGAAGGUGGAGACACCCUCCUUCAGUUAGGCUGGAUCGGAGACAGGUGCUGCAUGGCUGUCGUCAGCUCGUGUCGUGAGAUGUUGGGUUAAGUCCCGCAACGAGCGCAACCCUCGCCCUUAGUUGCCAUCAUUAAGUUGGGCACUCUAGGGGGACUGCCGGUGAUAAGCCGAGAGGAAGGUGGGGAUGACGUCAAGUCCUCAUGGCCCUUACGGGCUGGGCUACACACGUGCUACAAUGGUGGUGACAGUGGGCAGCGAGACCGCGAGGUCGAGCUAAUCUCCAAAAGCCAUCUCAGUUCGGAUUGCACUCUGCAACUCGAGUGCAUGAAGUUGGAAUCGCUAGUAAUCGUGGAUCAGCAUGCCACGGUGAAUACGUUCCCGGGCCUUGUACACACCGCCCGUCACACCAUGGGAGUUGGUUUUACCCGAAGGUGCUGUGCU